GAUGAACGCUGGCGGCGUGCCUAAUACAUGCAAGUCGAGCGAACAGACGAGGAGCUUGCUCCUCUGACGUUAGCGGCGGACGGGUGAGUAACACGUGUAUAACCUACCUAUAAGACUGGGAUAACUUCGGGAAACCGGAGCUAAUACCGGAUAAUAUAUUGAACCGCAUGGUUCAAUAGUGAAAGACGGUUUUGCUGUCACUUAUAGAUGGAUCCGCGCCGCAUUAGCUAGUUGGUAAGGUAACGGCUUACCAAGGCAACGAUGCGUAGCCGACCUGAGGGGGUGAUCGGCCACACUGGAACUGAGACACGGUCCAGACUCCUACGGGAGGCCGCAGUAGGGAAUCUUCCGCAAUGGGCGAAGGCCUGACGCAGCAACGCCGCGUGAGUGAUGAAGGUCUUCGGAUCGUAAAACUCUGUUAUUAGGGAAGAACAAAUGUGUAAGUAACUAUGCACGUCUUGACGGUACCUAAUCAGAAAGCCACGGCUAACUACGUG
Molecule: ribosomal RNA, 497 nt
Filed under: uncultured bacterium
Lineage: Bacteria
Description: partial 16S ribosomal RNA
Rfam family: Bacterial small subunit ribosomal RNA
Source: RNAcentral